Molecule: ribosomal RNA, 774 nt
Filed under: uncultured Neocallimastigales
Lineage: Eukaryota; Fungi; Neocallimastigomycota; Neocallimastigomycetes; Neocallimastigales
Description: partial large subunit ribosomal RNA
Rfam family: Eukaryotic large subunit ribosomal RNA
Source: RNAcentral
UAUGUGAUCGUCUCUCGCAUAUCAAUAAGCGGAGGAAAAGAAACUAACAAGGAUUCCCCUAGUAACGGCGAGUGAAGCGGGAAGAGCUCAAAUUUGAAAUCUUAAAGGGUUUCCCUUUACGAAUUGUAGUUUAAAGAAGUGUUUUCUGUUGAGGUUUUGGUAAAAGUUCUUUGGAAUAGGACAUCAUAGAGGGUGAGAAUCCCGUAUUUGACCUUUACUUUCAACUUUGUGAUACACUUUCAAAGAGUCGGAUUGUUUGGGAAUGCAGUCCAAAAUGGGUGGUAAAUUUCAUCUAAAGCUAAAUAUUGGCGAGAGACCGAUAGCGAACAAGUACCGUGAGGGAAAGAUGAAAAGAACUUUGAAAAGAGAGUUAAACAGUACGUGAAAUUGUCAAAAGGGAAGCGUUUGACACCAGUGUUGUUUUUCUGAAAAUCAAUUAAAGAACUGUUUAUGCUAAGCUGUUUAGACUUUAUUAGCUAUCUGUUUAGUUUUGAGCUUUUCUUUAAUGCACUUUUCAGUUAACAAGUCAACAUCAAUUUCUUUUGCUGUAAAAAAGCUUGAGGAAGGUGGCUUGAGAUUCGUCUUAAGUGUUUAUAGCCUCUUGCCUAUGCAGUCGGAGAGAUUGAGGUCUGCAGCGUAGAUCCUUCGGGGCUAAAUGCAUUUGUGCUAAGUUAUAGCAUUUUAUAGACAACUUGUUGACUAUGAUUUGUCUUGUAGCUUACUCGCUUAUGUUAUUUUACCUACGCUUAGGAUGUUGAGCGCAUGUCUCUCUCU